This 456-nucleotide ribosomal RNA is filed under the name uncultured bacterium. Its description in RNAcentral is "bacterial SSU rRNA". It matches the Rfam family "Bacterial small subunit ribosomal RNA", at positions 340 to 789 of the family's 1533-position model. The record is from RNAcentral.
UACGGGAGGCAGCAGUGGGGAAUAUUGCACAAUGGGCGCAAGCCUGAUGCAGCCAUGCCGCGUGUAUGAAAAAGGCCUUCGGGUUGUAAAGUACUUUCAGUCGUGAGGAAGGUGUUAAGGUUAAUAACCUUAGCAAUUGACGUUAGCGACAGAAGAAGCACCGGCUAACUCCGUGCCAGCAGCCGCGGUAAUACGGAGGGUGCGAGCGUUAAUCGGAAUUACUGGGCGUAAAGGGCACGCAGGCGGUUAAUUAAGUUGGAUGUGAAAUCCCCGGGCUUAACCUGGGAAUGGCAUUCAAGACUGGUUAGCUAGAGUCUUGUAGAGGGGGUUAGAAUUCCAUGUGUAGCGGUGAAAUGCGUAGAGAUGUGGAGGAAUACCGGUGGCGAAGGCGGCCCCUGGACAAAGACUGACGCUCAUGUGCGAAAGCUGGGGAGCAAACAGGGAUUAGAUACCCGU